CCUACGGGUGGCAGCAGUAGGGAAUCUUCCACAAUGGGCGAAAGCCUGAUGGAGCAACGCCGCGUGGAUGAAGAAGGUCUUCGGAUCGUAAAACCCUGUUGUUAGAGAAGAAAGUUCGUGAGAGUAACUGUUCACGUUUCGACGGUAUCUAACCAGAAAGCCACGGCUAACUACGUGCCAGCAGCCGCGGUAAUACGUAGGUGGCAAGCGUUAUCCGGAUUUAUUGGGCGUAAAGGGUACGCAGGCGGUCUUUUAAGUCUGAUGUUAAAGCCUUCGGCUUAACCGGGGUAGUGCAUUGGAAACUGGGAGACUUGAGUGCAGAAGAGGAGAGUGGAAUUCCAUGUGUAGCGGUGAAAUGCGUAGAUAUAUGGAAGAACACCAGUGGCGAAGGCGGCUUUCUGGUCUGUAACUGACGCUGAGGUUCGAAAGCGUGGGUAGCAAACAGGAUUAGAUACCCUAGUAGUC
RNAcentral lists this ribosomal RNA (465 nucleotides) under uncultured bacterium. Its description in RNAcentral is "partial 16S ribosomal RNA". It matches the Rfam family "Bacterial small subunit ribosomal RNA", at positions 338 to 795 of the family's 1533-position model. The record is from RNAcentral.